Molecule: long non-coding RNA, 13009 nt
Filed under: Nicotiana benthamiana
Lineage: Eukaryota; Viridiplantae; Streptophyta; Magnoliopsida; Solanales; Solanaceae
Description: long non-coding RNA (NBEN_LNC027661)
Source: RNAcentral
CCAAAAUGACCCCCCUUUCAAUUAUGGUCUCAUUUGUUUUGCACACCCUCACACACAAAAACCCUAAUCCUCUAAAAACCUUCAGCACACCAAGUACCCCCACCUUUGUUUUUCAAACCACCCCAAUAAAAAAAACGAUCCUCCACACAUGCUGCUUCACGAUCCAUCUUCGGCAGCCAUAGAUCCUCCAGCCGCCACUGCUUCGUCAUCCUCUCCAACGUCCAGCCAACGAACAAACACGAGCAACCUUUUGCUCGUCGACCACCAGCAGUCCGCCUCUCACCAUGAACGACGACAGCCAUGGACGCACCUUGCUCCACCUGCCUCACGUCGGACCAGGAGCAGCAGUAACCUCCCUCACGUCCGCAAACUACCAGCGAACACCUCCACGCUCACGUGAGCAGCCUGCCUGCUUCACCUCACCUCCAAACACACUACCAAACGACCCUUCCCAACUGCUGCCCCCAUUUAUUUUUCUUCUUCACCCAUAAACAAGCCAACGUCGUCCACCCUUGUCUUAGUCAUCCAUGUUCGUGUUUGUGUUCGUCAUCCAGUUCGAGUUCGUUAUUGAGAUCCCAGACAGAUUCGAGCUAUUUUGGAUUUCAGUGUUUAAGGGAAGAUAUGAUUUCGUUCGAGUUCGUCGUUGUUCCGAUCCGGUUAGUUGUUUUAAGUUUUAUUUUUGUCCGUAUUUUGUUUUAUUUUUCAGAUCCGAAAUCGUUAUAUGUUUGAUUAUUUUCUUGAUUUGUUGUUUAUCAUUUUUUUUUGAUUAUUUAUUUAGUUAGUUUUAUUUAUUUGUUUUGUUUAAGUUUUAAUAUAAAAAUGCUUUAGUUUAAUCACUUAAAUCCUUGAUCUUGAUUGUAAUAUUAUUAGAUUUAAUUUAAAGUUUAAUUGAUUAUUAAGUUUAAUGAGUAUGUUUUAAGUCUAAAUUUGGAUCUGAGUUAGAGAUUUAAAUUAGUUUGUUUGAUCUGUUAAAUUUAAUUUGAAUCUGAUUUUAGUAAUUUUAAUUUACUUGUGUGUUAUUGUUGUUAAAUCUGAAGUAUUUGUUGUUAAAAAUAUUAUUUAGUCCAAAUAAGUUUUAGUUGGUUCUUUGUUGUUCAUCAUUUAAUUUGAAUUGUUGGUUGAAUUUGAUUAAGAAUUGGUUAUAGUUGCUAUGUUUUGAUUAAUUGAUUUAGGUGAAUUGAUUAUAGCUGAGGGGGUAGAGUAGUAAUUUUUAAUAAUUUUGGGGGUAUUUUUGUAAUUAAAAAUAUAAAUAUUGGUUUAAUAUAUAGUGGAGAUCAUAAUUAUGUAAAGGGGAAAAGACAUAAUUAUUAAAGUAAAAGAGGGCGGGGACUGUAAUUAUUACAGUAAAAGAGGGUGGGGACUGUGGGGUCCACGUUUGACUGAUUGAGAAUUAGAAAUAGUAAAAGCAGGAAAGUAAAAGAAAGAAGUGGGGUAAUAAUAAAGGAAGGAAUAAUAAUUAAAGAGGAGGUAAAGAGAGUCUUGUUUGAAGACAUAAAUAGAGGUCAUUGACAUUAAAAAAAGGAGGAGAAUUUUCGGAAGGAUAAAAAUUUUCAGAACUUAAGAGUAAAAGGCUGGUCUUUUCUUUACUGUUGAAUAUUAGAACUAGUAAUGUUACUACUUCACUGGUAGUUGCUAGAUUUUCUGCUUGGUUCUUAAAACUAUUCCUGGGGUCUUCCUGCACGGUUUUUUACGGGUUUACUGAUUUGGUUGUUGAACCUGUUGUUGCUGUGUUGUGCUACUGCUGCACCACUGACUUCUUCCUCUUCUUUGCUUUCUAAAUACAAGGUACACGACUGUAACCCUCGCUAUUGUAAGCCGAAAAAAUGUAGAAGCAUGAAUACAUAUAAAAAUGGAAGUUUGAAGUUUUGAUUUAACUUUUCUNNNNNNNNNNNNNNNNNNNNNNNNNNNNNNNNNNNNNNNNNNNNNNNNNNNNNNNNNNNNNNNNNNNNNNNNNNNNNNNNNNNNNNNNNNNNNNNNNNNNNNNNNNNNNNNNNNNNNNNNNNNUAGAUUUCUGCCAGCUUUGUAUAGCUGGACUGUAUUCAGUUUGAUUUGGAUUAAUUGAAGUUAUAAUUAUAAUGAACUAUUAGGAUGUAGUUACCAGCUAUAGUAAUAUUCACUUGUAAAAUAAGGCACGAAACAAUACUCAAUUUUUACGAGCUCGAGUGCAAUUUUCGUUCGCAUUAAUCUAAUAACUAAUAAGAGGCCCGAACUUGCCAAGCAUCUAAAUUAAUUAGGAUUUUUCUUUUUUUUAAUUUAGAGACGAACUAAAUAGAAAAAAUAUAGUCAAUUUAGGAAUGUCCUUUAAAAACUAAAUAAGGCGUACCUCGCCAAUAAUAGUUGUAAAUUGUGGGGCCCUCAUACUUGUUUAAUAAAAAUUAUUUAGACUGUGGGACAUGCCGUUUAGCGAAUUCCACGGCUUUCUCAAAAUAGUAAUGCGUUAAUAUGUUUAGGCACGUAUUUAAUAAUGUUAUCUUCCCUAAACUCGUGUACACAUUUAUGUUACCCAAAUCCAAAUUCCAACGAAGUCGGAACAUAUUAAAAACUGCAUAUAUAUUUAUGUGACGCGGUUCGAGAUAUAUUCUCACGACGUUGUAAUUCUUUUAAAAAAUAAAUUAAAAAUAAAUAAUGAUAAAAACGUCUAAAAUUUAAAUUUGCAUGAGUUCAUAAUUUUAAUAAAAUCAGAUAAAUAAGUCGAAUAUGACAGCUCUGGCAACUCUGUUGGGAAAACAUAUCCUAGAACCACUGGUUCAGGGUUAGAAUUUCGAGCUUAGAAUAAUUGUUGUAUUUGGCUUUCUCUAUUAUCUGAUGUUUAUUACAUUUUAUACUGGGGAAAAUAUGACCCAAAAUAUCUGGUUCAGGGUUAGAAAAUCGAGCUUAGAAUAAUUAUUGUAUUUGACUUUCUCUAUUAUCUGAUGUUUAUUACACUUUAUUUUAGAUUUAAUGUGCAAAUUGUUGCUUAUUACCGCUUUGAUAUUAUUUGAACUGUGUAUAUAAAGUGCUGUGAAACCCUACUUCUUUCUGAGUCUUCUGAAAAUGGUGCAUACGUUCGCGUAGCCCGCCUUUUGAAAAAUUAUUCCAAAUAGAGCGAGUGUAGGGCAAGCGACAAGGUCGGGCAGACUUUAGUGCUCCCGUUACGUUACCCCCUCCUCAGCCCUAGUUGUCUGCUCGGGUUCCCCAACUCUAUACCAAAACCCAUGUUUUUCUUUUACCUAGUAAAACACGGCUUCAUGCCGGAUCCCUAGUAGGAAGGCUUAUACCCCCUCGUCAGCCCCAGUUGUCCGCUCGGGUUUUCCAACUCUAGACCAAAACCCAAGUUUUUCUUCUACAUAGUAAAACAUAGCUUCAUGUCGGAUCCCUAGUAGGAACGUUUAUUUACAUCAUGUGCAUUUGACUUAAGGGACUCAACACAGGGAUUGGGUCCAUCUAGGACAAGCAACCUGAAGUAAAAAAAUCAUCCUGCUGCAUCCUGUCUGUUUUAUGCAUUUAUUUACUUCGAACUGACAUGCUGACCGGAUUUGAAUACUGGAAAAUUGUAAAAAAAUGGAAAAAAAAAAACUAGCAGUGUAGAGUGUUCGUUACAUAUUUUUAGAAAAUCAAUUUCCAAAUAGUGGCGGAACUCUACCAAAAUUUUGGAAAAAAUGAAGAAAAAAAGAGAGUUGUUUUUAGUUUGAUUUAUUUGAAAAAAAAAAGUAAAAAAAAAAAUAAAAGAAUCCUUAUUUUCGGAUUUUCUUGUUUUCUACAUAGUUUAUUUGCCAACGGAAAAAAAAAAGAUUGUUUUACUGAAAAAAAAAAGAAUCUUUAUUUUUAGCUUGAAAAAAUAGGUUGAUUUGUUAUUUGGUGAAAAAGAAAAAGAGUUUUUGUUUUUAGUUUGGGAAAAAUAGGUUGUUUUAGUUUUGUUAAAAAUGAAAAGAAAAAAGAGUCAUUAUUUUGUCUUGUUUAAAAAAAGUUUAAUUUGUUUUGCCAUGAAAAAUAAAAAUGAAAAGAGUUGUGCUUUGAAAAUAAUUUUGUUAUUUGUUGCCAAAAAUGAAAAAAAAGAAUCAUGUUUUAAAAUAGUUCAGUUUAUUGGGCGAACUACGCCGGUUUGAUUCUCACAGGGUGUGAGAUACAUAGGCAACCCUCAUCGGGUCAAACCUACCCUUUGCAAAAAAUAGAAAAAAAUAUCAAAGUUUUUAUUUUCAUCAUAAAUAAGUCGGGUAAUGAUGUUUUUAUCAAAAAUAGCCAAAUGUUCUCGAAUGGGGCGCCGGAAGGUUAACUUUGUAUAAACAACCACCUUUGGGUCAUGUUUUUAGAUUUUGGCCAGCUGACCCACACAUCCUUAAAAUCUUUGCCCCGGAGUGCUGAAAGGUUGUCUUUGCAAAACUUGGCCUUUUAUUUUAAUUUGAAAAAAAGAGUUAGUAUGCAAGUGAUUGCCGUUCAAAUUUCUAGUAAAAAAUAAGCCGAGCCAGCUUCGGCUAUGUAUUAAACCGUUCUUACCGAGAUAGACUUAGAGUAUCUUUCAUUUGUCGAAAGGCUAUUUUCGUAAAAGAAUAGACAAGUUUGUAGAGUGUCGUGAAAUAAUUUUUCCGGCCUCAAAAUUCAUGUGAAUUGAGAGAGGGCCACGUUGCAGAAAUAGCCAUUUGGCUGAAAGUGGCAAAUAGGGAAAUGAAUCUAUCAGCUUGUUUUUGAGUUUGUAAUUCUUUUGAUAGAAUAUGUGGGUUGUUUCAUUUUCGAGUCCGUAUGUUAUCUUUUCGUCAAAUUUUGAUAGUUCGGUAUGUUUUUAAACCAUUGUAAUUAAAGUUGGUUUUAUUAUGAAAGUUGAAAAUUCCAAAAAAUGUUUUAUUGUUGUUUACUUUUUAUUGUUCUGAACUACGCAAGGACUGAUUCAAGCGGGGUCAUGAUACGUAAGAAAUCUCCAUAAGAUUCGACAACAACAAAAAUGAAAAAAAAAACCAAAAAAAUAGGAAAAUGAAAAAAGAAGGCAAAAGAUGUUGUAAUAAUAAGGACAUACUAAGUCCAUUCUAAUAUGUUUUGUCGAAAAAAUAAAAAAAACGUGGAAACGAAAGAAACAAAAGAUUUUGUUAAUAAUGAGGACCGACUAAGUCCAUUCUAACAUGUUUUGUUUUGAAUUUUGAGAAAGUUGGGGUGAUCGGUUUGUGGUAAGCUGGAAGCACAAGAUCCAGAAAAAUUUGAUUCAAGACAGUGACACCCAGAAUAUCACGUUGAAUCCUUUACAUACACAUGAUGAUGCACACUUUGUGAGGAUAAUGCCCGAUGACAUGGGUUAUGAGAAUCCUCUUAUUUGUGGUAAGCUUGAAUCACAAGAUCCAGGAAAAUUUGAUUCACGACAGUGACACCCAUAAUAUCACGCUGAAUCUUUUACAUAAAUAAGAUGAUGCACACUUUCUGGGAAUGAUGCCCGAUGAAUAUGGAUGCGAAACUCAAUGGCUAAAAAUGCUUGUUAAUUGGAAAGACGCUCCAUGUCUGGGUCAGCUGGAAGGAAUCUUGGUAGUGGGCUCUGAUUUUCCUUCUUGUUUUCUGGAUCAUUCCGCGGUUUUAAUCCGGCUUCUUUUAUUUUUUCCUUGUAAAAGGAUGAAACCUUGUUUCCCGUAAUUCAAUAAAAAUGAAAAAAAAAUUCUUCUUCACUUUUACUUUAGUUUAAUUUUGUCUUCUUGUUUUCUCUUUAUGAACAGUUCUCUUUAUACUGGUUCUAAUGGCAUGGCAUGCACGAUGGAUCUUCAACCUACUCUAAAAAAAUCAAUUUGAUUAUGAACUAAUAAUACAAGAGGUAGAUUGAUGAUAAUGAGUGGGUCAAAAGCCGAAUGGAGCGGUUGAGGUGGCCAACAAUAACAUAAAGAAGAUAUUGAGAAAAAUGGUACGAGGGUCCAGACAAUGGCAUGAAAAGCUACCAUUUGCGUUGUUGGGUUAUCACACUACUAAUCCUACUUUAGUAGGUGCAACUCUAUAUCUGUUGGUAUACGGAACUGAAAUAGGGAUACCACUAGAGGUUGAAAUUCCGCCUCUUUGAAUUCUCACCGUGGCUGAGAUUGAUGAUGAUGAAUGGGUCAAAGCCCGAUUGGAACGGUUGAGCUUAAUUGAUAAAAAGAGAUUAGCAGCAGUAUGUCAUGGCCAGUUAUAUCAAAAGAGAAUGACAAGAGCAAUCAUAAGAAUGUGCGUCCGAGGAAAUUUGAAGUGGGGCAACAAGUGUUGAAACGAAUCCUGGCACAUCAGGCCGAAGUAAAAGGCAAGUUCGCCCCGAACUGGCAAGGACCAUUCAUUGUGAUAAGAGUUUCAUCCAAUAGCGCUUUAUGUCUGACAGAUGUCGAGGAAAGAUGUAUCAACAUGGCUAUCAAUUCUGAUGCAGCCAAGCGGUAUUUUGUAUGACUUCUUUGACUAUAAUUGUUUGUUUGUUUGGUUGCACUUGGCAUCAAUCGGAGAAUGAAAUGACAGAGGCAUUUUUUUCUACUAUCCAAACACUUUAACAUUGCUUCCCCCUUUGAGCCUUAUUUAUUCUUUCAUACCCCUCUUUUGGAAUCAUUAACGAAAACGAAAAAAAAAGAAAUAAAAGAAGAGAAGAAAAGAAUAGUAGAAAAAAAAGGAAAAAAGAUAACAAAAAAAGAAAGCGAAGUCACAAGAAAAACAAAGGAAUCAAGUGAACUACAUUUGACCUGAUUCCUCAAAGAGGAUACGUAGGCACCUCACGGUUCGGUCAUAGCGUGACGAAGUGUAACAAAGAUAAAAAAUUCCCCAAGCAGAAAAACUGGGGCAAAUGUUUUGUUUUUAAUUUUGAAAAAGAGUUUUGAUUCCAAGAGUUGUAAUGUUUCACCCGUCAAGUUUUGAAUUUAUCUUCUUUUCUUUUAAACCCCAUAUAAAAACCCAUGUUGGUGUCCACAAAAGACCUCCCGAUCAGCAUUCGAUAGGUGCCAAGGUAGGCAAAUGAAAACCUAGAAUAACACAUUAGUUCCCGACUCAAUGGCCUUUUAUUUUAAACCCCAUAUAAAACCCACAUUGAUGUCCAAAAGACCUCCUGAUCAGCAUCCGAUAGGUGCCAAGGCAGGCAAAUGAAAGCCGAGAAUAACACAUUAUUUCCCGACUAAAUGGGAAACAUGACUUGAAAGAAUUAAUAGCCAUAAGAAUUUCCAACAGAAAUAUUCUUACCGGCGACACCCCAAUCCCAGCUGAAAGAGAAAAAUGAGAGAGUCUUAUCGGUGAAAACCUUCACAGGCACCAUAAGACGACGUAAGCUGAGAGAAAAAAAAAUGAGAGUCUUAUCAAUAAAAACCUUCACAGGAACCAUAAGGCGGCGGGAGUUAAGAGAAAUGAGAGAGUCUUAUUAGUGAAAACCCCUCGAAGGGCGAGGCGACAAGAGGGGAUUGACGGAAAGGAUCCGCAUUUUGCGAAGAAUUGGGCACCUGUUUAUCCCCAGCAAGUGAAGACAUCAGAAUGAUUGAUUGAUACAAAUAGACUGGGUUGAUUAAUACGGAAGGCACGCCAUGAUCGUUGGGAUUAGUUAUACCAUUCAGAUAAGUUCUUUUUCUUUUCUUUUCCCUAGUAUUUGUUCAGAAAGAUUUUCUCUUUUUCUAUCUUUUCAUUUCUUUGUUUAAAAGACUUUCUCCAGAAAUUGGUUUUAGAGAAAGAUCUUUCAGAGCUUACUACCAGUUACCAAAAUGGUACAAAGAAAAAUGGCAAGAGGACAGGCCAGAGACAAGGUAAAAGGAGGUUUGUUGCAGGGUCAAAUAAUAUUGAUCUAAAAUAUCAAGGGAAAUAUGGAGAAAAACAGGAAAACAAUUGUUGAGAAAAUUGUGGACCAAAUUCCAAGAGGGUCCCAAACAGAUCAUCGAGAUGUAGGAGCAUCCCAAACAUAUUUUCGACCAAGUUCCAAGAGGGCCGGACAACACAGAGUGGGGAAGGAAGAAAAUGGAAAACUCAUCCCCAGCAAAAUAAUCCCCAGCAAGCUUUGAUAGCGUAAUGAAACGCAGAGCGGGGAAGGGAGAAAAGGAAAAAUCAUCCCCAGCAGAAGUGGCACGACCACUCACCAUGUUUCAAAACUAACAAAUUUUCUUUGAUUUGAAGAAGGAAAAGGAAAUCUUAUUAAUGGCGGAAAGACAUGCCACAGGGAAGAGCACCAAAACUGGGGCAGAAAAUUUUUCGCCAUUGUCGAAAAUUUUCUCGGAGAAACGAGGAAAUCAAUGCAAGUUUUAAGGGAUAGCAAGACAACACAAUUUUAAGAAAAACAGUCAGAGGUAAUAUUAUUUCAAGUUUUGAAGUCGGGAGCCCGCCCAUAGAAAGGAGGUAUUAUUUUUAAGUUGUCGAAGUCGGGAGCCCUCCCGUAAAACAGAGGCAUUAUUUUUAAGUUGUUGAAGUCAGGAGCCCACCCAUAUAAUAGAGGUAUACAUUUCACUCUAUAAAUUUCAAAUUUUGAAUAUAGGUUCAUUCGCCUUCGAAUAGGAUAUUAUAGGUUCAUCCGCCUUCGAAUAAGAUAUUAUAGGUUUGUCCGCCUUCGAAUAGGAUAUUAUAGGUUCAUCCACCUUCGAAUAGGGUAUUAUAGGUUCAUCCGCCUUUGAAUAGGAUCUAAUAAGUUCAUCCGCCUUCGAAUAGGAUAUUAUAGGUUCAUCCACCUUCGAAUAGGAUAUUAUAGGUUNNNNNNNNNNNNNNNNNNNNNNNNNNNNNNNNNNNNNNNNNNNNNNNNNNNNNNNNNNNNNNNNNNNNNNNNNNNNNNNNNNNNNNNNNNNNNNNNNNNNNNNNNNNNNNNNNNNNNNNNNNNNNNNNNNNNNNNNNNNNNNNNNNNNNNNNNNNNNNNNNNNNNNNNNNNNNNNNNNNNNNNNNNNNNNNNNNNNNNNNNNNNNNNNNNNNNNNNNNNNNNNNNNNNNNNNNNNNNNNNNNNNNNNNNNNNNNNNNNNNNNNNNNNNNNNNNNNNNNNNNNNNNNNNNNNNNNNNNNNNNNNNNNNNNNNNNNNNNNNNNNNNNNNAAAGGAUAUUACAGGUUUGUCCACCUUCGAAUAGGAUAUUAUAGGUUCAUCCGCCUUCCAAUAGGAUAUGAUAGGUUCAUCCGCCUUCAAAUAGGAUAUUAUAGGUUCAUCUGCCUUCGAAUAGGAUAUUACAGGUUCAUCCGCCUUCAAGUAAGAUAUUACAGGUUCAUCCGCCUUUGAAUAGGAUAUUAUAGGUUUGUCCGCCUUCGAAUAGGAUAUAAUAGGUUCAUCCGCCUUCGAAUAGGAUAUUAUAGCUCCAUCCACCUUCGAAUAGGAUAUUAUAGGUUCAUCCACCUUCGAAUAGGAUAAUUAUGGGUCAUCCGCCCUGGAAUAGGAUACUACAGGUUCAUCCGCCUUCGAAUAGGAUCUAUAGGUUCAUCCGCUUUCGAAUAGGAUAUUAUAGGUUCAUCCGCCUUUGAAUAGGAUAUUAUAGGUUCAUACGCCUUCGAAUAGGAUAUUAUAGGUUCAUCCGCCUUCGAAUAGGAUAUUACAGGUUCAUCCGCCUUCGAAUAGGAUAUUACAGGUUCAUCCGCCUUCGAAUAAGAUAUUAUAGGUUCAUCCGCCUUCAAAUAGGAUAUCAUAGGUUCAUCCGCCUUCGAAUAGUAUAUCAUAGGUUCAUCCGCCUUCGAAUAGGAUAUUAUAAGUUCAUCCGCCUUCGAAUAGGAUAUUAUAGGUUUUCCACCUUCGAAUAGGAUAUUAUAGGUUGCCCACCUUCGAAUAGGAUAAUUAUGGGUCAUCCACCAUCGAAUAGGAUACUAUAGGUUCAUCCGCCUUCGAAUAGGAUAAUUCUGGGUUCAUCCGCCCUCAAAUAGGAUAUUGAAUCUAGUCCUUCCUCAAAAGGACAUUUAAUUUGUUUUGACCAGAGUGGUCCUGCUUGUAUAAAUAUUGCCAAAAUCUAUAUUUCAUAAAUCAUUGACAAAUGCAUUUUAAUUUUAAAGUUGUUGAUGAAGUCAGGAGCCGCCUGUAGAACGGAGGAAUAUUUUCAAUGUCAAAUUAGAAGAUGAUGAUGAAGAUGGUCACAAAAAAUACCCCAACAUAAAAAGUUUGAUGAAGGAAGCAAUAUCCCAACAGACAGAACAAAAUGAUGAAAUUUGUGUUCUGAAAAGGCAAACGGCCAAUGACAUCCCCAUCAAUUUUGGAAGAAAGAAGCACUGGAGGAAACACAAGCCGACGAGAAAGCAAAGAAACAAGAACAAGUUGAAGAUAAUUAAGAUCUUGUAAUCUGUAGUCUACCAUAGCUCCUUGAUUUUCUCCUUGUCACGGUGUAAUAAGGAGAUCGGCAAAACAGUAGUAACAGCAUACAGCAACAAUAACACCAGAACCACAGUUCCCCGGAAGUCCCAGCUACCAAGACUUCCCGAACUACAUUGACCUGAUUCCCUUUUAGCCAGGAAUAUGUAGGAAACAUUCGAAGCAAAGGCUCGGUCAAAUCAUUCAAAAAAUAUUUCACACGGAGUACUCAAACAGGCAAAAAUUGUUCGUAUCCGCCCACUUUAUCUUUGUAUGAAAACUCAUGUUUACGAGCAAAGAGGGGCAGUUGUGAGCACGUGAUUUUCGCCCUAUAUAUGAAUUACUCCCAGAAAAUUCAAAAUAAAACAAUUUUUAGCUUGUUUGCAAUUGUGGCUAUUUUUCUUGUAUUAUUUGCAUUUGAUGGUGCAUAUGUAUUUUUUAAACUAAUAAAAAACUACAAAAAUAUCUUGCACGCAUUUAGGAGUUAAUUGUGCAUUUUAGAAAUUAAUUAACCAUAAUUUGGUUAAAAGAAAAAUAGAAAAAUCUGCAUUUUUGUGCCUUGUCAUUAUGUGAUUUUAUUUAAAUGUGUGAUUUGUGAUAAUUAUUGUAGGUGUUAAAUAUGUGUGUAUUUUCAUUAGUUUUGAUUCUAGAAAUUAUUUAGGAACUUUUUUAAUUUUGUUUAAUAAAAGAAAUAAGAAAAGAGUUGAAAUCAAAGAGGAAAUCGGACUAGGGCUCAAUCUAGACCCAACAUCACUGAGGCCCAAUACAUAAUUGACCCAGUCCAAUAAACUUACUGACCCGGUCCAACACUAAACCAAAAUGACCCCCUUUCUAUUAUGGUCUCAUUUGUUUUGCACACCCUCACACAAAAAACCCUAAUCCUCUAAAAACCUGCAGCACACCAAGCACCCCCACCUUUCUUUUUCAAACCACCCCAAUGAAAAAACGAUCCUCCACACCUACUGCUUCACGAUCGAUCUUCGGCAGCCAUAGAUCCUCCAGCCGAUGCUGCUUCGUCGUCCUCUCCAACGUCCAGCCAACGAACAAACACGAGCAACCUUUUGCUCGUUGACCACCAGCAGUCCGCCUCUAACUAUGAACGACGACAACCAUGGACACACCUUGAUCCACCUACCUCACGUCGAACCAUGAGCAACAUUCACCUCCCUCACGUCCGCAAACGACCAGCGAACAGCUCCACGUUCACCUGAGCAGCCCGCCUGCUUCACCUCACGUCCAAACACACUGACCAAACGACCCUUCCCAACUGUUGUCCGCCAUUGACGAGCAGCUGUUGAUGCUUCAUCUGUUUCUGCCCGUGUCUAGCUCAACAAGACAGCUUCACCACGUGGCCAUGACCAACCAAACAGCCCCUCGUUCAUUUUUCUUCUUCAACCAUGAAAAACCCAGCGUUGUCCACCCUCGUCUUAGUCAUCCAUGUUCGUGUUUGUAUUCGUCAUCCAUUUCGAGUUCGUUAUUGAGAUCCCAAACAGAUUUGAGCUAUUUUGGGUUUCAAAGUUUAAGGGAAGAUAUGAUUCUGUUCGAGUUCGUCGUUGUUCCGAUCGAUUAGUUGUUUUAAGUUUCAUUUUUAUCAGUAUUUUGUUUGAUUUUUUAGAUCCGAAGUCGUUAUAUGUUUGAUUAUUUUCUUGAUUUGUUGUUCAUCAUUUUUGUUGAUUAUUUAUUCAGUUUGUUUUAUUUAUUUGUUUUGUUUAAGUUUUAAUAUAAAAAAUAUUUUAGUUUAAUCACUUAAAUCCUUGAUCUUGAUUGUAAUAUUGUUAGAUUUAAUUUAAAGUUUAAUUGAUUAUUCAGUUUAAUGAGUAUGUUUUAAGUCCAAAUUUGGAUCUGAGUUAGAGAUUUGAAUUUGUUUGUUUGAUCUGUUAAAUUUUAAUUUAAAUGUGUGUUUAAUAAUUUUAAUUUACUUGUGUGUUAUUGUUGUUAAAUCUGAAGUAUUUGUUGUUAAAAAUAUUAUUUAGUCAAAAUAAUUUUUGGUUGGUUCUUUGUUGUUCAUCAUUUAAUUUGAAUUAUUGAUUGAAUUUGAUUAAGAAAUGGUUAUAGCUGCAAUAUUUUGGUUAAUUGAUUUAGGUGAAUUGGUUAUAGUUAACGAGGGUAGAGUAGUAAUUUUUAAUAAUUUCGAGGGUAUUUUAAUAAUUGAAAAUAUAAAGAUUUGUUUAAAAUAUAGUGGGAAACAUAAUUAUGUAAAGGGGACAAGACGUAAUUAUUAAAGUAAAAGAGGGUGGGGACUGGAAUUAUUAAAGUAAAAGAGGGUGGGGAUUGUGGGGUCCACGUUUGACUGAUUGGGAAUUAGAAAUAGUAAAAGAUGAAAAGUAAAAGGAAGAAGUGGGGUAAUAAUAAAGGAAGGGAUAAUAAUUAAAGAGGAGGGAAAGAGAGUCUUGUUUGAAGAUAUAAAUAGAGGUCAUUUGACACUAAGAAAAGGAGGAGAAUUUUGAGAGAGAUAAAAUUUUUGAGAACUUAAGAGUAAAAGGGAGGUCUGUUACUACUUCACUGGUUGUUGCUGGAUUUUGUGUUUGCUUCUUAAAUCUAUUCCUGGGGUCUUCCUGAACUAUUUAUUACGGGUUUACUGCUUUGGUUGUUGAACCUGUUGUUGAUGUGUUGUGCUACUGCUGCACUACUUACUUCUUCCUCUUCUUUGCUUUCUAAAUACCAGGUGCAUGACUGUAACCCUGGCAAUUGUAAGCCGAAAAAUGUAGAAGCAUGAUACAUAUAAAAAUGGAAGUUUAAAGUUUUGAUUUAACUUUUCUUCUUUACGUGAUUUUAUUUUAGAACAUUUCUUAUACUACUGUUAUGUAGAUUUCUGCCAGCUUUGUAUAGCUGGAC